This 268-nucleotide long non-coding RNA is filed under the name Lathyrus oleraceus (garden pea). RNAcentral describes it as "Pisum sativum (pea) long non-coding RNA (PSAT_LNC012952)". Lineage: Eukaryota; Viridiplantae; Streptophyta; Magnoliopsida; Fabales; Fabaceae. The record is from RNAcentral.
UUUGCUUUUAGCAUACCCUGCAGUGCCUGUGCUAAAGUCAUAUUGAUCUUGGUAAACUGCCUUCUUGGCCUGUCUUGUCUGUGCUGGAAGUUUUGAGAUGGCGGUGCUGCAAUCGUAACUGCUCCAACAGCAUGGUCACGAUUUUUCUUGUUACGACCCCUUUGACCGUACACCGCAUUUGAUUCGUUCCUCCCCUGAUAGGACCUUUUGGUGCUUGCAGAGGUAGUCGCCUGUAUCUUUCCACUUCGAAUGCCGCUUUCAACACGUU